Non-coding RNA from Triticum urartu, 116 nucleotides. Lineage: Eukaryota; Viridiplantae; Streptophyta; Magnoliopsida; Poales; Poaceae. The record is from Rfam.
UUAAUACUCCCUCCGUCUCAAAUUUUUUGUCUUAGAUUCGUAUAGAUAAACAUGACUUGAUACAUCUGUAUUUAAACAAAUUUAAGACAAGAAUUUUGGAACGGAGAGAGUACUAG